GCCAAACUGAGGGCUGCCGUGAAGCUCCAAGGUGAGCAAAUCCGCCAAUAAGCGCAAGACCCACCAAGGUAGAGGAGGAACUUUGUCACAGUACAUAUCAGCAGAGGGAUCAGACGCCCACUGGCAGGGAAGAACAGCAUGAAGUCAUCUGAGUCUGGGGACAAAAUAGUCAGUUUGGAAAGAUAUAAGGGGAGAGAAGAAGCCGUCAUGGCAUCCAUCACUGAACAGACAAAAGGGGCCAGAGCUUUUGCAAGCUGAGAAAGUCUCUGGGAACUGAAUAUAGGUGAAAAACCUGCUUAGACAGAGAUCUUUCACCUAGGAAGACAAGGAAAGCCAAUACUUUGACCUUCUAACUUCUUGACUGAAAUAAGGUCAGCCAUGGCUAUAAAGAAGAAAGAUUGAACAAAGACAGUAGCUUGUUAAGCCUUAGCCACUAGAAGGCAUAUUUUACUUUCAUUCGCUGUCUUUAUCGUUUGUACUUGAAAUAAUUUUAACCUACCUCUUUUUGAAUAAAUAAAUUUUGUUUUACUUUUAAUCUAAACCAACCCAGUGCUGUGUUUGAAUUGAAGUGAUGAACACUAGUUAAAGUAAUAAGCUGAGCUUUUAUCUCUUCAAAGGCACAACAAACCUUAUUGACUUCUCUUCAUGUUCUGGUAGAGGGCUGGACACUUCAUGGCAGAUGCCUGUGAGGAAAUUUGGGGUUGGGAGUGUGUUCGAGUCACCCUGCAAGUAGUAACCCAGGCUUGUGGAGACCAAGGAGGGGUUGUGGUGUAGUAGGCAGGCUGCUGGGGACAGAGUGCUGAAUCCAGGCUGCACAGCACACAGAUACUCCAGGAACUGUAUGCUUGGCUGCUGAGUGUUGGUGCCCAGGCUGUGAGCCAUAGCAGCAGAGCAUUUAAGGCAUGCAAGAUUACAGGCCAGGCAGUGACACAACUUCUCACUGCACCCAGAGGAGUGAAUACAUAUCCAUGACAUCCUACAAGCCUUUGGGUGUGGAAGAGCACUUGCUGGGAUUUCUCACAGAGAAAGGAGAGGAGCCAUUUGAGAGCAAAUAUAUCAAGAGGCACCUGAUAACUCUAAAAGAAUAAAGCGUUCACUUUCCUCCCCAACCAGGAGAUCAGCCCACCACUACCACCAGCACCACACCACGACCUUGGAACCAGGUUACUUUGGAGUCAAAGAAAUAGGUCGACUUCAUAUACCAUCAGAAUUCUAUUGCAAGACUUCUUCUAUUGCAAGAAGGUCAAGAGAUGGGAUGAGAUAGGGUGAUUGCAAUAUUUUGUGUUCUGCUUUUCAGAUUAUGAUAUUCUAGUUGGAGGAAUGUGCCUCUGCAGUCUCCAUUUCUACCACACCAGUAGAGACUAAACCACAUCUGGUACUCAAAUGAUGUAAUGCAAAGAGCAACUGUAUCUGUCCCUGGAUGAACAAUGGCAUAGUGGAGAACUGCAAUUUGCUGAGAAAUUGAAUUCAAAAUCAUUUUCAAAUUAAUAUUAAUCUUCCCCCUCUCGCUCCCUUUUGCGUGUUCCCUGGAAUUUUGCUUUGACUGGGAACCAAAAGUUGAUGAAAAAAUCUUCACUUCUCAUGUUUGCAUCCUGCAAAUGUUAUGUCUUAAAUACUUCUUUUUCCACAUGACUUCAUGUGCUAGCAAUUUGACUUAAUGAGUAGCUGCAAUAAAUGUACAGUAUGGAAAUGUUGUUACAAGUCUGCUAGAGCAUUCCCAUGCUUAAGCAAAGCAUUGCGUUGAAAGAGAUGUAAAAUAUAUAAUUACUCUGAGGCCUUGAACAAAAUCCUGGUUCUUAGUUCACUCUUACCCUUUUUUUGGACAGUGUGAGUAAACCUUAAUUAUGCCUUGUUUUUAAAGAGAAUUGCUGAGGGCCUGUACAUCUGGACUUUGCUUUCCCUAUCAUCAUCUAUGGAUAUGUUCAAGCUAUUAAAAUGAACACAAUUCACUGCAUAUUGUUUAUUUUAGUUGAAACCCUGCCAAGUUCCUUACCUAAUGAUGUAUUUAAAAGAUCUCACAUAAGCAUAUUGGUAAUUUUAUUUGGAAAUUCAAUUUAGCGGAUGCAGCAAACAAGAUGAACCCAGAAUUAAAUGUGAUUAGAUUUCCUCUCCUGAAUAUUUACAAAUUUUAGAUGUUAAAUCUGCCUUCCAAUCCCCUUCAAUGUCAGCCUUUUGCCAGUUUGUUUCUCAUUGCUUAGAAGAGCAGAAAAUCAUGGGUGUGACUGAAAUGUGGAUUUUGCAGUUAUUGUUGCUUUUCUCAGAACUGAAGCAUUCAGGUUUUUUUUUUUAAAUGGUUAAUGAAUAAAUUCUGUGCUGACUUAUACCCUA
Molecule: long non-coding RNA, 2328 nt
Organism: Chelonia mydas (Green sea turtle)
Lineage: Eukaryota; Metazoa; Chordata; Testudines; Cheloniidae
Exons: 2
Source: RefSeq, a predicted model, not a curated record